UAGGUGAACCUGCGGAGGGAUCAUUA
This 26-nucleotide non-coding RNA is filed under the name Curvularia lunata. RNAcentral also lists the same sequence under 27 other names. Lineage: Eukaryota; Fungi; Ascomycota; Dothideomycetes; Pleosporales; Pleosporaceae. The record is from RNAcentral.